Molecule: long non-coding RNA, 699 nt
Organism: Mangifera indica (mango)
Lineage: Eukaryota; Viridiplantae; Streptophyta; Magnoliopsida; Sapindales; Anacardiaceae
Exons: 2
Source: RefSeq, a predicted model, not a curated record
UUAACACCACACGCCAAGCACCGGUAAAAUAUAACUAAACCGAAGAGUGACUGCGAAGCUUCAAAUCGAAGAAGAAAAUGGAGAAAAGAGAUGAUUUGAAGUCAAUUUAAGCUUUACUCGUCGUUGUUGGUUUGAUCAUCAACUCUGUUUUGGCCAUCGAAAGUAAUCGAAGCUCUUAAAUCUAUGGUGAAAGGGCCUAAAUACAGCUGGGUCAACUCAAGAGAAAUGUUUUUAGUGGCCAUUUAUGACAUCAAAAGCUCGCUUUCUUCCAACCCCUCAAGCCUUUUGCCCUCAAUAGUUACGGGCUUUUCUUUGAUGAUGGCCUAUGCAUACAAUUCCUGCAAGAUGAGACACCAAAUGCAAAACAAUCAAGAGGAGGAAGGACCACUUGGGUUGACAAACACGCAUAGCAGCAAAGGAGUGCAGUAGAUGGCAAUUUCACAGAAGGACCACCAAAUUUGGAGAGGGAAUGUGGCAAUCUAUGGGAAGGCUUGAUUGUAAUGAGGAUAAAAGAAGGGAAGGAUCCAAAAAGAAUUCAGAGAAGAAAAUUGUUGAGAAGGAAGAAGAGGGAGAGUUCCAAUCUCUCAAAAACUAAAAGGAUUAGUAUGUUUGUUUGAGUCUUUCGUGUUUCUUAAAUCUAUGUUAAUUCCAAUGUAAAUAACCGCAAGAUGGAUCAGUAAAACUUUGAUUGUAAUUCUG